GGCACCGUAGUUUAGUCUGGUAGAACCCCAGUCUCAUGAGCUGGUGAUCCCCGGUUCAAAUCCGGGCGGUGCCA
RNAcentral lists this transfer RNA (74 nucleotides) under archaeon. RNAcentral describes it as "tRNA-Met". It matches the Rfam family "tRNA". From Rfam's summary of the family: Transfer RNA (tRNA) molecules are approximately 80 nucleotides in length. RNAcentral also lists the same sequence under 1 other name. The record is from RNAcentral.